This is a long non-coding RNA of Erinaceus europaeus (western European hedgehog), 2500 nucleotides long. RefSeq lists it as uncharacterized. The record is from RefSeq and is a predicted model, not a curated record. Lineage: Eukaryota; Metazoa; Chordata; Mammalia; Eulipotyphla; Erinaceidae. The transcript has 2 exons.
ACAGAUGAGUGGCUGGGCAAGUUGUGGUAUAUAUACACAAUGGAAUACUACUCAGCUGUGAAAAAUGGUGACUUCACUGUUUUCAGCCGAUCUUGGAUGGACCUUGAAAAAAUCAUGUUGAGUGAAAUAAGUCAGAAACAGAAGGAUGAAUAUGGGAUGAUCUCACUCUCAGGCCGAAGUUGAAAAACAAGAUCAGAAAAGAAAACACAAGUAGAACCUGAAAUGGAAUUGGCAUAUCGCAUCAAAGUAAAAGACUCUGGGGUAGGUGGGUGGGGAGAGUACAGGUCCAAGAAGGAUUCAGAGGACCUAGUAGGGAUUGUAUUGUUAUAUGGGAAACUGGGGAAUGUUAUGCAUGUACAGACUAUUGUACUUACUGUUGAAUGUAAGACAUGAAUUCCCCAAUUAAAAAAAAAAAAGAAAGAAAACAAGAACUUUUCUGGGGAUCUGUGACGUCUCCCCAAGAAUGCCUUUGUAAUCACUCAAAACAUCAAAUAACUAUGAAGUACACUGGGCCAGCAGGAUGCUUUGUGAAAUAUGCACAGAGUUCUUACUUGAGCUGCUGAAGAACUAAUAGCUUUCCUUUGGGGGUGAAAAUAAAAAAAGAAAAGACUGGAGCCAGGCGGUAGCGCAACGGGUUAAGCGCACAUGGCACGAAGCACAAGGAACAGAAGAAGGAUCCCAGUUCAAGCCCCCAACUCCCCACCUGCAAGAGAGUCACUUCACAAGCAGUGAAGCAGGUCUGCAGUUGUCUGUCUUUCUCUCCCCUCUGUCUUCCCCUCCUCUCUCCAUUUCUGUCUGUCCUAUCCAGCAACAACAACAUCAAUAACAACAACAAUAAUUACAACAAUAAAACAACAAGAGUAACAAAAGGGAAUAAAAAAAUCUUAAAAAGAAAAGACAAGCAUCUUCCCUUGUCCCCUUUCACUGUAACAGAAAACAAAAUUAAAAGCAAAAUACAGUUGGCAAUGCAGAAGAUGCCAUUUGGUCCCAACUGUAAAUUUUUUUUGUAAAUUCUUAUUUGUAUAUAUUAAUAAUUUAACAUUGUCUUAUCCUGUAAAUUUUGAGUAGCUCAAGAGCCAAGUCUUGAGUCUUGGAAGUAAAGAGGAGUAUAUGACAGCUGAAAGUGCUAUAGAGAUAAUCUGACUUAACCAAGGCCUGGCACAUAGUCCAACAACCACACAUCCCAGAAUGAAUGAAUGAAAUGUUUACUGUAAAAGACAGUCUUCUCACCCACUUGAAGCCUCUGCUCACAGUCUGGCAGCUACCAAACUCCUACCUCAGACCUGGUCCCAUUGAAGUCACAUGUAUGUAUCACAUUCAGCCUAGACCCUAUGGGAACAUCCAGUGUAUGGAUAAAUGGCUUCCCCUGGCCUGAGACAUUAAUAGGGUAUAGCUGCCUCCCUGUCAUAUUCUGAAAGUAGGAAAAAUGGUAGGUUUCUUUUUCCCUUUGUAGCCUAGUCCUGCCCAGAACAUUGAGACUGAUCUUCUAAUCAUUAUUGGGCAUGCCCAGGCCUCACACCACUUACCUUCUGGCUCUCAGGAAACACUGCCUGUACUGAGAGUUUACUCAGAUCCUGUACACAACAUUGGCAUUGGAAUCCCAGAUUAGCAAGGACCCUCAAGGUCCCCUGACUUCCACUACCCUUAUCACACUCCAAUUGCUAUACUAAUUCUUUCUGAGUAGAGUUCUCCCCAGAACAUUCCUGGGCUAUGGAGAUCAAGAACUGAGCUGCAUUAAUUUCUCCAUUUAAAACAGUUAAUGAAGGAGAAAUAGAAUUACUGAGUAUUACUAAUCCUAAAGCAGCUUUUGCCAGGCCUCACUUUCCCAUUGGCAGAAUUGUCAGGGCGGGCAAUGUGGGUUCACUCUUGAUUCUUGGUGGUUUAAAGUGUGCUCUGAGUGCCUCAGCAGCUUGUAAAGAUUUGGGUGUAAGGAAGAGCUAGCCAUCACUAGGCAGGCUGCAUGUUGUGAAGCCAGCCAGCUUUUCCUGUAGUGACAACUGUAUCUCCUUUCAGUACUGCUACUUCUCCUACCAGACCUCCACCUCUUUCCUCUCAGCCAGCUGCCUGUGGAGACUUUCCUAUAUAGCUUUGAGGACAUGAACCUGACAGCACACACAGACAAAAAAAUUCAAUGAGCAAAAAGAUGAAUCAUAGAUAAGUGUGUGGAAUCACUGUAUUACAGCACAAAUAUAAGCUCCUUAAGAAAAAAAAAAAAAGGGAGUUGGGCUGUAGUGCAGCGGGCUAAGCGCAGGUGGCGCAAAGCACAAGGACCGGCAUAAGGAUCCCGGUUCAAACCCCGGCUCCCCACCUGCAGGGGAGUCACUUCACAGGCGGUGAAGCAGGUCUGCAGGUGUCUAUCUUUCUCUCCUCCUCUCUGUCUUCCCCUCCCUCUCCAUUUCUCUCUGUCCUAUCCAACAACAACAACAAUAAUAAUAACUACAACAAUAAAACAACAAGGGCAACAAAAGGGAAUAAAUAAAUUAAAUAAAUAUAAAAAAAA